AACGAACGCUGGCGGCAUGCCUAACACAUGCAAGUCGAACGAGCCCUUCGGGUCUAGUGGCGCACGGGUGCGUAACGCGUGGGAACCUGCCCUUAGGUUCGGCAUAACUCCCCGACAGGGGUGCUAAUACCGGAUAAUGUCUUCGGACCAAAGAUUUAUCGCCUUUGGGUGGGCCCGCGUUGGAUUAGCUAGUUGGUAGGGUAAAAGCCUACCAAGGCGACGAUCCAUAGCUGGUCUGAGAGGAGGAUCAGCCACACUGGGACUGAGACACGGCCCAGACUCCUACGGGAGGCAGAAGUGGGGAAUAUUGGACAAGGGGCGGAAGCCUGAGCCAGCAAUGCGGAGUGAGGGAUGAAGGCCUUAGGGUUGAAAAGUUAUUUUACCCGGGAUGAUAAUGACAGUACCGGGAGAAUAAGCCCCGGCUAACUCCG
RNAcentral lists this ribosomal RNA (431 nucleotides) under uncultured bacterium. RNAcentral's name for it is "partial 16S ribosomal RNA". It matches the Rfam family "Bacterial small subunit ribosomal RNA", at positions 29 to 505 of the family's 1533-position model. The record is from RNAcentral.